UACAGAGGUCUCAAGCGUUGUUCGGAUUCAUUGGGCGUAAAGGGUGCGUAGGUGGCGCUGUAAGUCGGGUGUGAAAUUUCGGAGCUCAACUCCGAAACUGCAUUCGAUACUGCGGUGCUUGAGGACUGGAGAGGAGACUGGAAUUCAUGGUGUAGCAGUGAAAUGCGUAGAGAUCAUGAGGAAGACCAGUGGCGAAGGCGGGUCUCUGGACAGUUCCUGACACUGAGGCACGAAGGCCAGGGGAGCGAACGGG
Molecule: ribosomal RNA, 253 nt
Filed under: uncultured bacterium
Lineage: Bacteria
Description: partial 16S ribosomal RNA
Rfam family: Bacterial small subunit ribosomal RNA
Source: RNAcentral